RNAcentral lists this ribosomal RNA (496 nucleotides) under uncultured bacterium. Its description in RNAcentral is "partial 16S ribosomal RNA". It matches the Rfam family "Bacterial small subunit ribosomal RNA", at positions 29 to 507 of the family's 1533-position model. The record is from RNAcentral.
AUGAACGCUGGCGGCGUGCCUCAUACCUGCAAGUCGCGCGCACAGACGAGGAGCUUGCUCCUCUGACGUUAGCGGCGGACGGGUGAGUAACACGUGGAUAACCUACCUAUAAGACUGGGAUAACUUCGGGAAACCGGAGCUAAUACCGGAUAAUAUAUUGAACCGCAUGGUUCAAUAGUGAAAGACGGUUUUGCUGUCACUUAUAGAUGGAUCCGCGCCGCAUUAGCUAGUUGGUAAGGUAACGGCUUACCAAGGCGACGAUGCGUAGCCGACCUGAGAGGGUGAUCGGCCACACUGGAACUGAGACACGGUCCAGACUCCUACGGGAGGCAGCAGUAGGGAAUCUUCCGCAAUGGGCGAAAGCCUGACGGAGCAACGCCGCGUGAGUGAUGAAGGUCUUCGGAUCGUAAAACUCUGUUAUUAGGGAAGAACAAAUGUGUAAGUAACUAUGCACGUCUUGACGGUACCUAAUCAGAAAGCCACGGCUAACUACGUG